CUACGGGGUGCUCCAGUGGGGAAUAUUGGACAAUGGGGGAAACCCUGAUCCAGCAACGCCGCGUGGAGGAUGACGCAUUUCGGUGUGUAAACUCCUUUUAUAUGUCAAGAAAAUGACGGUAGCAUAUGAAUAAGCACCGGCUAACUCCGUGCCAGCAGCCGCGGUAAUACGGAGGGUGCAAGCGUUACUCGGAAUCACUGGGCGUAAAGGACGCGUAGGCGGGUUGGAAAGUCAGGUGUGAAAUCCUACAGCUUAACUGUAGAACUGCACUUGAAACUUCUAAUCUAGAGUAUGGGAGGGGGAGAUGGAAUUAGUGGUGUAGGGGUAAAAUCCGUAGAUAUCACUAGGAAUACCUAAAGCGAAGGCGAUCUCCUGGAACAUUACUGACGCUAAGGCGUGAAAGCGUGGGGAGCAAACAGGAUUAGAUACCCUUGUAGUC
Molecule: ribosomal RNA, 439 nt
Filed under: uncultured bacterium
Lineage: Bacteria
Description: partial 16S ribosomal RNA
Rfam family: Bacterial small subunit ribosomal RNA
Source: RNAcentral